GCGGGGUCAGGAAGGAGAGUUCAGGGCAGAAAAACCGGACCUGACCAGCUCAGUUUGCGGUUCCGGUUGGCGCCCUCUGGUUGUGGCAGAUGCUCGUAUGCUGUGGGGGCACGUCUGGGACUGUUUGGAGACUUCUUCUCCAUCAGGGAACCUCCCUCCAUACCUUAGCCCGCGCCGUCCUCCCUCGUGCUGCUGGUAGUGCGCCUGCGCGGUCUUUCUGUUGGGGUCCGCCGGCCGGGCAGAGACAACUCUCGGAGGCGGUCGCUUCCAGAUGCCGCAAGUCUUGUUAUCUUCCACAAGAAGAAAGAAGAGGGAGAUCUGGACAGAGGAGGCACACAGAGAAGACAGCCGUGUGAAGACAGAGGCAGAGAUUGGAGCCAUGCAGCUGCGAGCCAAAGAACAUGGAGGAUUGCUGGGAGCCACGAGCAAUGGAAGAGACAAGGGAGGCGUCUUGCUUAGAGCCUUCAGGGGGUGUGUAGCCCCCUGACACCUUGAUUUCAGACUUCUGGCCCUCAAGAUUGAGGGAAUAAAUUUUUGUCAUUUUAA
Molecule: non-coding RNA, 546 nt
Organism: Equus caballus (horse)
Lineage: Eukaryota; Metazoa; Chordata; Mammalia; Perissodactyla; Equidae
Source: RefSeq, a predicted model, not a curated record